This 58-nucleotide transfer RNA is filed under the name Stygobromus indentatus. RNAcentral describes it as "tRNA-Arg". Lineage: Eukaryota; Metazoa; Arthropoda; Malacostraca; Amphipoda; Crangonyctidae. The record is from RNAcentral.
AUAAUAGAAGUAAAUUUACUGUCAGUUUCGACCUGAUCUAUGGCCUAGCCCUAUUAUA